ACCCUCUCAGCAUCACACCUGGAGAGUUUCCAGGACUCUACCAGUGUCGGCUAUGGGAGGAAGAGUCGAGCAGAGGCCUAUCCAUUCCAUUCCUAGCUUGGCCAGUGGCUAGCGAGCGGAAGGCCAUCUGCUACAAGU
Molecule: small nucleolar RNA, 138 nt
Filed under: Ornithorhynchus anatinus (platypus)
Lineage: Eukaryota; Metazoa; Chordata; Mammalia; Monotremata; Ornithorhynchidae
Source: RNAcentral